CUGCGACUCUUCAAUAAAUAAAAAAUUAUGAGAGGUCAGGUUCGAUGCUCCUAGUUGGUGAGUGUAAUUGACUCUAGCCACGGGUAGGAUGAAAUUUCUCAUAGUUUUUCCAGACCCUGAAUGAGUGGAUAAUCGUAACUUGUUAACUGUUGUCCUCCUUUUUAAGAAUACUGUUUCUAGAAAAAGUAAAAAUACUUUAGGGCACCGUUUGGAGAUUUAUUUGGGCCAUAUUAGAGAUUGUAUCUAGAAAAGGUAAAAAUACUUUGAGUACUAAAAACGUAUUUUAUUACGGUUGGUAGAAAAAUCUAACAAUGUUCAAUCGCUUAUGGGUCAAUGAAACAUUUUUUUUUCAAAGAAUCACUAGGAAAAGCACAUGAAGUUUGUAUAAAAAUUUCAACAUGUUUUUAAUAAAAAAUAUUUUUGCAUAACCGGGUUUAUAAUUCUUUUCUAAAAAGGGACCGGUUGGUGUCCACCUUUACAGAGUUCGAAAAAGUUCUCAAAGGAAUUUUAGCCUCUCUUUGUCCAACAUCAUGUGAUUCACUAAUGUCAGAAAUCGAACUCAAAACGUGUCGCAUAGAAUGUGCCUAAAAUUGAAAUUCAUCUCAACCACUAGGUUAGCCAAUGAGCUUAACCGGGUUUUUUUCAAAACUAAAAUAAAAUAAGGAAUUGGGUAGGUGUUAGCUGGUAACCAACUUUAAUGGUUACCAUCGUAUUACUUAAUAAAAUAAGAAAACUUUAACGAAAAACUCCCAAUAUUGUUCACUUUAACGAAAAACUACAUUUUUACACUAAAAAGUCAAUCUCCCUUUAUUUUGUCCUUAUCGUUAAAACUUCAAGGGCGCAUUUGUUUGGCCUCUUUAAGUCUCACUGGACUGGACUAAGUUAGGUAGGAGUCUUAGCCCGUGUUUGGCGCAAACAAAGACUGCCUUUAAUGAAACUAAGUCGGACUCGCACCGACUAAAAGCUUCACUAGCUGUUCUUAGCUGGUCCCCCCGAAAACUGGCAGAUUGCUAAUCCCGUCUCUAGCGCCCACGUCGUCUGCAAGCAUGCAUCCCAUAUCUCCUUCUUCCCGUGAACCCAGUUACCAAAUCAUGCCUUCCACCCUUUUCUCCAGUCACCAAAUCUGAAACGGCUUUGCCCAUUUUGUCCCGCAAACCCAACCCCCUCUUUGUUUCAGAGAUGAAUUCAUUCGGUUAAGCUUCCAAUAAGCUUAAUCCACACCCUACACAACACUACAAUUCGAAGAUUAAACCUUAUAAAUCCCAAAUAUAGAAAAUAUCAAAAUCUGCAAUAAACCUAGAAAUCUAUUACCUUGGGUUGCUGUGCACUUCUCCAGAAAUCUGUAAGCAAAAAACGAAAGACCUCCAAAAAUCCACAAUGCUCUUCUCCAGAAACCUAGAAAUCUAUUACCUUGAUUUGGGAUUUUUGUGAAAAAAAGAGAGCUAUCUCUGGUUAGAGGAACAAGAAGAAAGACUUGUUGGUCUUUGAUCCAAAUUAGGUGCAAAAUGCACAGCUUCCUCCGUUGAAGAAGAAAACAGGGAGAAAAAGGGGAGAAAAAAGAGAGAUGAGAGGGAGACGGUGUGCCGAAGAAAACGAGGGAGAAUGGUGGAAAAAUGGUGGAUGUUUCCUAAAAAAAGGAAGAGAAUCCAAAAAGAAAAAAAUAAAUUAAAAAUAAAAUAGAUAAAAUAUUAAUAGAUACAUAAAAUAUUGAUAGAUAUAAAUAUAAUAUUAUAGUUUAUUAAUU
RNAcentral lists this long non-coding RNA (1744 nucleotides) under Malus domestica (apple). RNAcentral describes it as "long non-coding RNA (MDOM_LNC011823)". Lineage: Eukaryota; Viridiplantae; Streptophyta; Magnoliopsida; Rosales; Rosaceae. The record is from RNAcentral.